CUAUUUUUAAAAUAUACAAUCAAACAAAUCAAAAAAAUUUCUAAACUUCUUUUUCAAAAAUAUUUUUGAAAAUUUAUCUCUCAAAAUCAAACCAAACAAGGCCUUUUUUCUUGUUUUUUCUACUGCAAUCUCAAAUGAAAUCAAAUUUGUGGAUCCUGACAUUUUUUUAAUGUUAUGACUGAUAUGCUGUGUUAUUGUGCUUUAGGAUGAUGAGUGACUAUGCUGUGCAGCCAAUAAAUGAUGGGAUUAGUGAAUUCAAUGUGGAAUUCCAUGGUCCAAAAGAAAGUGUUGCUGAGAGAAUAGUUGAUAUGAUUGCGCAAGUAAUAUUGGAAGCUAAAUUGAGAUUGUUUUUUUAUUUUUUAUUUUUUUUUUGAGGACUUGAAUUUGUUAGUACUUUGUAUAAAUACAUUUAAGGAUGGUUGAUAGAUAUUUGUUUUGCAUGUAUGGAAGUUUAUAUUUUGUAUGCAAAUUUUUUUUUUUUUUCCCUGAAGAAAAA
This is a non-coding RNA of Camellia sinensis, 496 nucleotides long. The record is from RefSeq and is a predicted model, not a curated record. Lineage: Eukaryota; Viridiplantae; Streptophyta; Magnoliopsida; Ericales; Theaceae.